RNAcentral lists this non-coding RNA (20 nucleotides) under Rattus norvegicus (Norway rat). The record is from RNAcentral. Lineage: Eukaryota; Metazoa; Chordata; Mammalia; Rodentia; Muridae.
UCGUUUUGGUGACUCCUCUU